Molecule: small nuclear RNA, 304 nt
Filed under: Microcebus murinus (gray mouse lemur)
Lineage: Eukaryota; Metazoa; Chordata; Mammalia; Primates; Cheirogaleidae
Description: 7SK RNA (ENSMICG00000033970.2)
Rfam family: 7SK RNA
About the family: 7SK was discovered as an abundant small nuclear RNA in the mid-70s but a possible function has only recently been suggested. Two independent studies have found that 7SK RNA binds the CDK9/cyclin T complex (known as elongation factor P-TEFb). P-TEFb activates transcription by phosphorylating the C-terminal domain of RNA polymerase II.
Source: Rfam by way of RNAcentral
GGAUGUGAGGGCGAUCUAGCUGCGACAUCUGUCACCCAUUGAUCACCAGGGUUGAUUUGGCUGAUCUGCUGGCUAGGCGGGUGUCCCCUUCCUCCCUACGGUCCAUGUGCGUCCCUCCCGAAGCUGCGCGCUUGGUCAAAGAGACUACCUUGCCGCUAGAGGAGGACUGUCUUUGGGUUCGGUCAAGGGUAUAUGAGUAGCUGCGCUCCCUACUAGAACCUCAAAACAAGCUCCCAAAAUCCAUGAAGAGUUAACAAAUACCUACUAUGUAAAAGGCAACAACUAACUACACGUAAUACUAGAU